This 253-nucleotide ribosomal RNA is filed under the name uncultured bacterium. RNAcentral describes it as "partial 16S ribosomal RNA". It matches the Rfam family "Bacterial small subunit ribosomal RNA", at positions 524 to 776 of the family's 1533-position model. The record is from RNAcentral.
GACGAACCGUGCAAACGUUGUUCGGAAUCACUGGGCUUAAAGGGCGCGUAGGCGGGCGGUCAAGUCAGGGGUGAAAUCUUUCGGCUCAACCGGAAAAGUGCCCUUGAUACUGACGGUCUGGAGGGAGGUAGGGGCGUGCGGAACUUCCGGUGGAGCGGUGAAAUGCGUAGAUAUCGGAAGGAACACCGGUGGCGAAAGCGGCGCGCUGGACCUCUACUGACGCUGAGGCGCGAAAGCGUGGGGAGCGAACAGG